Molecule: non-coding RNA, 131 nt
Organism: Byssothecium circinans
Lineage: Eukaryota; Fungi; Ascomycota; Dothideomycetes; Pleosporales; Massarinaceae
Source: the annotation of a GenBank genome assembly
AGCGAUUUAGCUCAGGGGAAGAGCGCCGGUAAGCUUCACCAGCUCGUUGUAUCAUAUUCUCUCACUAACCAAAUCAGGGCUCAUAUAAAAUUGAAACCCGGAGGUCAAAGGAUCGAAACCUUUAAUUGCUA